UACAUGGGGUGCAAACGUUGCUCGGAAUUAUUGGGCGUAAAGCGCGCGUAGGCGGUUACUCAAGUCGGAUGUGAAAGCCCUCGGCUUAACUGAGGAAGUGCACCCGAAACUGAGUAGCUAGAGUACUAAAGAGGGUCGCGGAAUUCCCGGUGUAGAGGUGAAAUUCGUAGAUAUCGGGAGGAACGCCGGUGGCGAAGGCGGCGACCUGGGUAGAUACUGACGCUGAGGCGCGAAAGCGUGGGGAGCAAACAGG
RNAcentral lists this ribosomal RNA (253 nucleotides) under uncultured bacterium. RNAcentral describes it as "partial 16S ribosomal RNA". It matches the Rfam family "Bacterial small subunit ribosomal RNA", at positions 524 to 776 of the family's 1533-position model. The record is from RNAcentral.